Molecule: non-coding RNA, 74 nt
Organism: Coemansia sp. Benny D160-2
Lineage: Eukaryota; Fungi; Kickxellomycota; Kickxellomycetes; Kickxellales; Kickxellaceae
Source: the annotation of a GenBank genome assembly
GGUCCUGUUGUAUAGUGGUUCAUUACGCUGCCUUUACACGGCAGAGGUCGCGAGUUCGAUCCUCGCCGGGAUCA